UGGGGAAUAUUGGACAAUGGGGGCAACCCUGAUCCAGCAAUGCCGCGUGAGUGAUGAAGGCCUUCGGGUUGUAAAGCUCUUUCGCCCGCGACGAUGAUGACGGUAGCGGGAGAAGAAGCCCCGGCUAACUUCGUGCCAGCAGCCGCGGUAAUACGAAGGGGGCGAGCGUUGUUCGGAUUUACUGGGCGUAAAGGGCGCGUAGGCGGCGAUGCAAGUCAGGCGUGAAAGCCCCGGGCUCAACCUGGGAGGUGCGCUUGGGACUAUAUUGCUGGAGUUCGGGAGAGGAGCGUGGAAUUCCCAGUGUAGAGGUGAAAUUCGUAGAUAUUGGGAAGAACACCGGUGGCGAAGGCGGCGCUCUGGACCGAGACUGACGCUGAGGCGCGAAAGCGUGGGGAGCAAACAGGAUUAGAUACCCCUGUAGUCC
This 424-nucleotide ribosomal RNA is filed under the name uncultured bacterium. Its description in RNAcentral is "bacterial SSU rRNA". It matches the Rfam family "Bacterial small subunit ribosomal RNA", at positions 355 to 796 of the family's 1533-position model. The record is from RNAcentral.